This 32-nucleotide ribosomal RNA is filed under the name Laccaria trichodermophora. RNAcentral's name for it is "partial 28S ribosomal RNA". The record is from RNAcentral. Lineage: Eukaryota; Fungi; Basidiomycota; Agaricomycetes; Agaricales; Hydnangiaceae.
GGUAGGACUAUCCGCUGAACUUAAGCAUAUCA